GGGAAAGAGAGGAUAGGCUGCUUUUGUUUGUCUGUUGUCCCCGUCGUUAGAGCUUUGUGCCCUUUGAGCCAGUUACGUUAUUAGCACUCACAGACAACCGUUGUCUGCCUGGAUUGACACAGCGGUUGAGAAAGAUGCUUUGCUGUGAAAUACCACAACUACUUUGUACACAACAGAGGAAAGUUACAUCAAGAGGAAGUAGAAGAGGGAAAAAAAACUACCCACUGAUUUUUCUGUACUAAUUGCAACUCCUUUUCCAGUUCUAACUUUUUCCUAAUUCUUUUUUUCUCCUGUCCUAAUUCUCCUCUGUCCCUUGCCUUCAAGUCUGCUCUGCUUUCCUCCUAAAAGCCCCUAAAAGCCUUGGUAUGUCUUUCCCCUCUACUUCUUUCCGCAGCGCACACGUGCCACUUCCUCUUCCUCCCUCUCUUAGCCAAGCAUCGAUAGAGGGAGCACUCUGAGCACAUUUCCUGCGUGUGGGGACACACAGACCUCCAGUCAGAGAUGCUCCUGCAUCAAAACUUGUGCUUGGCCCAGUGGUGCGUGUUGGAGGAUGCUCUCUGCAAGGGGAAGCAUGAGGAGUUCAGCUAGUGAACUCCUAUAGCUCUACAAUCCUGUGUCGAAUGAAACAUUUUGCAGUUGAGCUCAGUGAAACUGUGUAAAUUGCACACAGAGAGAGGUGGGUAUGUCUGUGGUUGGUGACUUCUUGGACAAAUUCGAAGUUCCCCCUACAAGGUGUUGGGAAUUUUGGAGCCUUGCUACAAAACAGCUGUAAGACAUUUCGAAAUGGGAAUGACGCGUGGCAUUCAGCAACGUUAUCCUUGAAGACAGUAGUACAGUUUCAGCUGGACACAAGGGAGAGCCUUAUGGAAGAUGAUUACCAUGCGUUUCCUCACUUUGAGCGUUGGUUUUGUUUUUAUUUUGUUUUAAUGAGGUUAUGAGUAGCUACAAAGGGCUCAUAUAGGAAAUCUCAUGUGAAAACCUUUCUCAAACUGUAAAGAGAUCUCAUUUCUUCUCCUUAUAGGAGAUGUGAAUCAUUUCAGUUCUUUUGUUGUUGUCAGCGGGUUCCUUUCUGACAACACUGUUGUGUCAGAGGUGUUCAAGCUCAGAUUUCCAGUUGUUUGGUACCCGUAUUUAUACAGCCUGUUCGAGGUCAGAGUUCAAGUGGAGCUUUCAUAAACUGAUAGAUUAUUUUUGGUAAGCUGUAUGAAUUUUCAUACAAAAGUGGCUGGCAGAAAGCUUUUUUCUUAGAAACCAAGAGAUGCUGGCUUUACAUCAGAACUUUGUCAGAGCUGCCUUCUGCAUGGCUCGAGAUACGGGUGUGAAAUCAAGGAAUAAAAAAAUCCAUAUUUACGUGUGUGUAUUUACAAUUCUGAUGUUACAGUCUUCUUUGUGUGCUCUUCUUCUUGCCCCUUUCAAGUAGCUCGUGUCUUGCAGUGCCCACUGUAACUGUUGCUCAUAUUAACUGUCGCUUUUAGAUCAGAAGGUGUGAUAAAGAAGAGAAUGCUUAAAGUAGAUGCCAUUUCUUGAAACAGGAGAAUUCUUGGUUCCCCUUUGUGCUGGCAAAAGGUGCAUACGUUGAGAGUUACAUUAGAGCUCCAUCUGAAAGACGUCUUUCCUGGCCCACGUAUAAAGAAAUGGGUGUCAGCAUCACGGCACUUCCUUGACAAGCAACAUUAUUUUGGGCGAAGGUUCGUCUAGAGUUGCGCAUCAGGAAUUACGUCUGUGCCGAAAAGGAUAAUGCAACCUAGAAAACUGAGCACUUAUAUGAGGAACAGAUCCCAAGCCUCUAAUUAAUCUGUAGUCUCAACGUAGAGAUGCAUUUUGAGCUCCGCUAUUGAAUUUCAUUAGAAAUAUUGGAGAGGAGGGAAGAGCUGCUCUUUCUUUAUUUCCUCUUUGAUUCUUCAUCCUGCGCAGCUAAAUUGCUUUUGAUGAUUAAAGCUAGCUCGUACCAAAACCAAUGUAAGUCUGUUCAUUUACAUGGAGACCAAAGUCAUCAGUGGCGUGCAGCUGCCUCGGGAGUGAACGCUUGUUCAAAAACCUCAGUAUGGGUUGGUUGCGCGUGUUACAAAUCAAGGCCCAACUUGAUCUGCCAAUAUUUAAUUAGCUUUCAGUAGCCACCCUGCUCGUAUCUACAAACUAAGUGCUCUGUGUCUCAUAAGGAAUGUGUAAGAAGUGAGUGAGUGACCCGCCUUCUCUAAAAACAAACAGGAGAAUAAAAAUCCCUGUCAUA
This is a long non-coding RNA of Gallus gallus (chicken), 2230 nucleotides long. RefSeq lists it as uncharacterized. The record is from RefSeq and is a predicted model, not a curated record. NCBI's taxonomy places the organism in Eukaryota, Metazoa, Chordata, Aves, Galliformes, Phasianidae. The transcript has 2 exons.